This 443-nucleotide ribosomal RNA is filed under the name uncultured bacterium. RNAcentral describes it as "partial 16S ribosomal RNA". It matches the Rfam family "Bacterial small subunit ribosomal RNA", at positions 338 to 795 of the family's 1533-position model. The record is from RNAcentral.
CCUACGGGUGGCAGCAGUGGGGAAUAUUGGGCAAUGGGCGCAAGCCUGACCCAGCAACGCCGCGUGAAGGAAGAAGGCCCUCGGGUUGUAAACUUCUUUUAUCAGGGACGAAACACGUGACGGUACCUGAUGAAUAAGCCACGGCUAACUACGUGCCAGCAGCCGCGGUAAUACGUAGGUGGCAAGCGUUAUCCGGAUUUACUGGGUGUAAAGGGCGUGUAGGCGGGAAAGCAAGUCAGAUGUGAAAACAAUGGGCUCAACCUGUGGACUGCAUUUGAAACUGAUUUUCUUGAGUACUGGGGAGGCAGACGGAAUUCGUAGUGUAGCGGUGAAAUGCGUAGAUAUUAGGAGGAACACCAGUGGCGAAGGCGGUCUGCUGGACAGCGACUGACGCUGAGGCGCGAAAGCGUGGGGAGCAAACAGGAUUAGAUACCCUAGUAGUC